GUUAUUUGAUUUAUUUCAAAAAUAUAUGUUCAGUCAAACAAUUAAAGGCUAGGGUUGAGUAAAAACUUUUGGCAAACCGUCCCUCAAAAGAGAAAAAAGUCUGCCAAAGCAUAGAUGGGGUUCAAUAAAAGUGCACACGGUGGAUGACCAAAUGGUUUGGGAGAGGGGGUUUGGAACCCCCUCUCCUUUAUAUUUUUAAUGAUCCUUCCGCAGGUUCACCUACGGAAA
This 228-nucleotide unclassified non-coding RNA is filed under the name uncultured fungus. RNAcentral's name for it is "sequence contains ITS1". Lineage: Eukaryota; Fungi. The record is from RNAcentral.